Non-coding RNA from Gymnothorax javanicus (giant moray), 73 nucleotides. The record is from the annotation of a GenBank genome assembly. Lineage: Eukaryota; Metazoa; Chordata; Actinopteri; Anguilliformes; Muraenidae.
ACCAUGGUGGCGCAGUGGAUAGCGCUGUUGCCUCUCAGCAAGAAGGUCAAGGGUUUGAAUCUGGCCCGGGGUC